This 497-nucleotide ribosomal RNA is filed under the name uncultured bacterium. RNAcentral describes it as "partial 16S ribosomal RNA". It matches the Rfam family "Bacterial small subunit ribosomal RNA", at positions 28 to 507 of the family's 1533-position model. The record is from RNAcentral.
GAUGAACGCUGGCGGCGUGCCUAAUACAUGCAAGUCGAGCGAACGGACGAGAAGCUUGCUUCUCUGAUGUUAGCGGCGGACGGGUGAGUAACACGUGGAUAACCUACCUAUAAGACUGGGAUAACUUCGGGAAACCGGAGCUAAUACCGGAUGAUAUUUUGAACCGCAUGGUUCAAAAGUGAAAGACGGUCUUGCUGUCACUUAUAGAUGGAUCCGCGCUGCAUUAGCUAGUUGGUAAGGUAACGGCUUACCAAGGCAACGAUGCAUAGCCGACCUGAGAGGGUGAUCGGCCACACUGGAACUGAGAAACGGCCCCGACUCCGACGGGAGGACGCAGUAGGGAAUCUUCCGCAAGGGGCGAAAGCCUGACGGAGCAACGCCGCGUGAGCGAUGAAGGUCUUCGGAUCGUAAAACUCUGUUAUUAGGGAAGAACAUAUGUGUAAGUAACUGUGCACAUCUUGACGGUACCUAAUCAGAAAGCCACGGCUAACUACGUG